CCUACGGGAGGCUGCAGCGGGGAAUAUUGCACAAUGGGCGCAAGCCUGAUGCAGCCAUGCCGCGUGUGUGAAGAAGGCCUUCGGGUUGUAAAGCACUUUCAGCGGGGAGGAAGGCGGUGAGGUUAAUAACCUCAUCGAUUGACGUUACCCGCAGAAGAAGCGCCGGCUAACUCCGUGCCAGCAGCCGCGGUAAUACGGAGGGUGCAAGCGUUAAUCGGAAUUACUGGGCGUAAAGCGCACGCAGGCGGUCUGUCAAGUCGGAUGUGAAAUCCCCGGGCUCAACCUGGGAACUGCAUUCGAAACUGGCAGGCUAGAGUCUUGUAGAGGGGGGUAGAAUUCCAGGUGUAGCGGUGAAAUGCGUAGAGAUCUGGAGGAAUACCGGUGGCGAAGGCGGCCCCCUGGACAAAGACUGACGCUCAGGUGCGAAAGCGUGGGGAGCAAACAGGAUUAGAUACCCGUGUAGUC
Molecule: ribosomal RNA, 465 nt
Filed under: uncultured Klebsiella sp.
Lineage: Bacteria; Pseudomonadati; Pseudomonadota; Gammaproteobacteria; Enterobacterales; Enterobacteriaceae
Description: bacterial SSU rRNA
Rfam family: Bacterial small subunit ribosomal RNA
Source: RNAcentral